This 367-nucleotide ribosomal RNA is filed under the name uncultured bacterium. RNAcentral's name for it is "bacterial SSU rRNA". It matches the Rfam family "Bacterial small subunit ribosomal RNA", at positions 550 to 916 of the family's 1533-position model. The record is from RNAcentral.
AUUACUGGGCGUAAAGCGCGUGUAGGCGGCCUGGUAAGUCGGAUGUGAAAGCCCGGGGCUCAACCGCGGAAGUGCAUUCGAUACUGCCAGGCUUGAGUACGGGAGAGGUGAGUGGAAUUCCUGGUGUAGAGGUGAAAUGCGUAGAUAUCAGGAGGAACACCGGUGGCGAAGGCGGCUUACUGGACCGAUACUGACGCUGAGACGCGAAAGCGUGGGGAGCAAACAGGAUUAGAUACCCUGGUAGUCCACGCCGUAAACGAUGAUCACUAGGUGUUGCGGGUAUUGACCCCUGCUGUGCCGCAUCUAACGUAUUAAGUGCUCCGCCUGGGGAGUACGGCCGCAGGGAUAAACUCAAAGGAAUUGACGG